This 345-nucleotide ribosomal RNA is filed under the name Triticum aestivum (bread wheat). RNAcentral describes it as "partial small subunit ribosomal RNA". Lineage: Eukaryota; Viridiplantae; Streptophyta; Magnoliopsida; Poales; Poaceae. The record is from RNAcentral.
AUGUCGGCAAUAGAGCAACGCCUGUAUCAAUUCAAAGACCGUAAGGGAGCAGAAAUAUUCGAGCCUACUGUUGGAACAACAUUUGACUCCAGCCAAGAAGCAUACGAAUUUUAUAAUCUGUACUCAUGGGAAUGUGGAUUCGGUAUUCGUCAUGGGAAGAGCAGAACUAGCACAAACAACUAUAGGAGCAUGCACGAGCUGGUCUGCCAGUGCGCGGACAAGGCGAGAAAGGAAAACACACCAUCUUGCAAAACUGAUUGCAAGGCAAUGAUCAAAUUGCUUCGUACAAAGGUAUGUGAGUGCAAUCGUCAAAGAACACAACCAUCGGUUGUCAUUGGGAUAUGA